UGGGCCUUCUUCCCCUCCUCAAUUUUCCUACCUAAUUGUCUAUUGACAUAUUUAUCCCUGUGAAAUCAAAAAUUUUAUUUAAGAUGAAAAUGUAUGAAAAAAAUGAAAAUUUAACUGUUCUGAACACUGAGAAACUGCGGAUCUUGUUCAACCGUCUAUUACGAAUAGCUAAUGGAGCCGUUACUUUUUAGUAAGUUUCCGGCGCAUUAUAGAAAAAUAACCCAAAUUAAAAUAAUGAGAAGUUAAAAGGGGAAGAGUUCAAAAUGGCCUUUAGAUGAGGGCUCAAAGAAGCUUCAAAUUUUGUUUAUGUUAUUCAAAGGCUAGGUUUAAGGUGAUGGUAUAUUUCCAAAUAGAUAUCUUUUGCAUACAUAUACUCGUAAAAUCGCAACUUUUUAUAUCUUACCGCUUAUUCGUAAGUUUAAUUAUACCAUGUGGGGGGCCAAAUUGUACAUAUAGUAGUUGUACGAGGAAAAUUGGUGCAUUAAUAACCCGUGGUCCUAAACAUACAUAUAUGUUUAGUAGCAGGGGCCCAUUUGCUUUCCGACUUUUGUGUGUGUAUAUAUGUUCAAGGCACAUGCAACUCUAAUUGCUACUUUGUUACAUAGUACCAUGUUUUGUUUUGGUUCUACUACAUACCUGUCCCAUUUACAGUCGCAUUGAGGGCCACGUUUGUAGAGGUAGCAGCAGGCACUUGGUCGCUCCCAUGUAGUAGACCUUUUGUUUUCACUGCUAAAAAUUUGCUUUAGAGGGUGUUUGGUUUCGCGGAAAAUAUUUCAUAAAACAGUUUUUUGGCUGGAAAAGUAUUUGAUUCUGUUCGGCUUAAUUUCUCCUUCUGAGGAGUUUUCGGUAUAGUUAUUACUGUAAAUGAGAUUAUGAGACCCGAAGUGAGAAACAGUUGCAGUGAAGUGCUUUUCCAUGUAAUGUUAUGCAAAUAGCACUUCAUUGAACAGCAUUGCACCUUUCGACGGUACUAGGCGGGCUCCAAAUAGCACUUCAUUGAACAGCAUUGCACCUUUCGACGGUACUAGGCGGGCUCUCAUUGUUUCAAAUUUCAAUGCAUGGUGUUGGCCAUGCUAUGCUGUCUUCUGAUGUGAGAAGUUUCGCAUCAAAAUUAUCUAAUUUUUGCAGACUGGCCUCAGUAAUUUCAUAUCUGCUGCAUUUGAACUAGAGCAGAGUUAAAGAUUCGUUUCGCGUAAUUGCUAAUACUAGUAGGUUGUCAAACCGCGAAUGGUUUUGUAGGUU
Molecule: long non-coding RNA, 1242 nt
Filed under: Ananas comosus (pineapple)
Lineage: Eukaryota; Viridiplantae; Streptophyta; Magnoliopsida; Poales; Bromeliaceae
Description: long non-coding RNA (ACOM_LNC027258)
Source: RNAcentral